CCGAGCGUACACGGAGAGAGGAGGGGCUUGCACGACCAGCAUAUCCUCUCCAUCUGAGUAGUUUGGACGCAAACCAUAGCACUGAUACGAACCCAUGUAUCGUUACCAAGCGUAACGACGUAGUUGACGUCCACCUUCUCAGAGGGCUACGGAAGCGCCUAUACGCCAUAACGUUGGUACCUCGUGUUAUAAGAAGUUUUUGUCCUAAGGAACGGCACUGUGUAUUCCAGGAGGAACGGAACCCUGGGUGCCGUUCCUUUUCGAGAUUAAGAUGGAUUCUGUACAAUCAAGGAAAAUUAAAAUUAGAUACGGUGAGAAAUGUAUGAAUAUAUAUGUGACAAAUAAUACUUUGAAGAAAAGUGUCUUAAAAGAUUAUUUUUCUGACGGUGGGACUUUGACAUAUCAAAUUGAUGGGGAGACAUAUCUAUUAGACACGGAAGCUCAAUCCAUCUACGUAAAUGCAAAUGUGGACAUUUAUGAUUUCAACGUUCCAAAAGAUGUACCUGUUUCACAGCUCAAUGGAAAAAAACGUAAACGUUUUCACGAUAUUCUUGAAACGUUAUAUUCAGA
Long non-coding RNA from Temnothorax curvispinosus, 570 nucleotides. RefSeq lists it as uncharacterized. The transcript has 3 exons. Lineage: Eukaryota; Metazoa; Arthropoda; Insecta; Hymenoptera; Formicidae. The record is from RefSeq and is a predicted model, not a curated record.